Oncorhynchus tshawytscha (Chinook salmon) is the source of this 367-nucleotide long non-coding RNA. NCBI's taxonomy places the organism in Eukaryota, Metazoa, Chordata, Actinopteri, Salmoniformes, Salmonidae. The record is from Ensembl.
CAACGUUCUCUGAAGAUCAGACAAGGCAUUCGGCCGCUUCUAUCUGGGAUCAACCAACACCGCCUGAAAAGGGAUAAAAUAAUAAAUCCAUAUUUGGAACGUUUUUGACUGACGGCGACGCGCAACACAGACCAAGAGACUGUGCACGAACGACCGUAGAGAGGACGGCUCGAACACCCGCUGCUUCCAGUUGUACCUACGCCCCAAACCGAACGUUUCGUGCGAAGGAAGAGACUCCAGAACAGGCCGAUUACGAAGAUAGCAAGGCGAGGGAAGUAGGCUACGGCAAACCUCCAUCUCGCCCAGAUACCUCCAUUACGUCCACCUACCACAGCCCCCUUCAGCCAUGGACCCCCCGAGGACUCGG